CAAAUAAAACUCUUGGAUGAUAAAUCCAUAAUGGGUGGCAACCCUUAAAUCAUGAACAACAAAUCCAUGAGAGGAUUCCUGUUUAACAAAGCUCUGCCGAGCAAAAGGAAAUCCUUUGAAAUGGAAAUGGUUUGGAGGGUUAAUUCAAAAAAAUGUACAGAAAAAAAAAAAGCGUGAAUUACCUCCUGGGAUCUCUCACCACUCCUCUCCAUCUCUGCUUGAGAAGG
This 227-nucleotide long non-coding RNA is filed under the name Prunus dulcis (almond). Its description in RNAcentral is "sRNA ncRNA". Lineage: Eukaryota; Viridiplantae; Streptophyta; Magnoliopsida; Rosales; Rosaceae. The record is from RNAcentral.